Molecule: long non-coding RNA, 724 nt
Organism: Misgurnus anguillicaudatus (oriental weatherfish)
Lineage: Eukaryota; Metazoa; Chordata; Actinopteri; Cypriniformes; Cobitidae
Source: RefSeq, a predicted model, not a curated record
UGAACUAUGUUGCAUCCAUGUAAAGAAAGGGGGUUUAAAAUCCAAAUAAUUCCAGGUAACGCGAAGUUUUCAGCGGGAGAGAACAGUUAUCCGUGCCAUGUCAACGAUUUCGCUGCGCGUGAACACGUUAAACUCUGAGGUCCGAUGGUGGAGGGGGCAGGGGCAAUCGGUGGGGGUGUCUUUUGCCUUCCCCCCGCGUUUACCCACCACUACCACAAGUAGGAUCCGUCUUCUGCGCGCUCAUGUGUGUGUGUAGCGCAGGAGCGCGCACAGAUGAGCGCCGCUGCUUCGAGGUCCGGUGUCAUUUGAAACCCUCACAGAAAAUCAUCCCACCCCUAAAAGUAAUAGGCUAUCUAUGAACAUGGAGGGAAUAAUAGACCCUAAACUGUACUAACACUAGUGCCAAAUUUAUUUAUUUGUAAACGCAUUUACCUGCUUACAUGUAAACUUGUGGAAUAACUAUUGAACUAACAAUAUAACAGUUGAUAUGGAAAUACAUAAAAAUUGUGUAAGGUAUUAAAAGAAGGGUGUAAUACUUUAUUUACACAAUUUUUUUAUAUGUGAAUGAAUUUAGGAUUGUCACAUUUAAACUGGUGAAAAAUACAGUAUGUUAACAUUGAAAGAGCACAUCAAGCCAUGAUUGGAAAACAAAAUGAUGCAGAUUUAGGGAAUAGUCAUAUUGACUUUGAGUAGAAAGCAAAAUAAACAUCUUAACAACUGCAAA